This 452-nucleotide ribosomal RNA is filed under the name uncultured bacterium. RNAcentral's name for it is "partial 16S ribosomal RNA". It matches the Rfam family "Bacterial small subunit ribosomal RNA", at positions 29 to 523 of the family's 1533-position model. The record is from RNAcentral.
AACGAACGCUGGCGGCAUGCCUAACAUAUGCAAGUCGAACGAUGUCUUUCGGGGCAUAGUGGCGCACGGGUGCGUAACGCGUGGGAAUCUGCCCUUGGGUUCGGAAUAACCGUUGGAAACGACGGCUAAUACCGGAUGAUGUCGAUAAGACCAAAGAUUUAUCGCCUGAGGAUGAGCCCGCGUAGGAUUAGCUAGUUGGUGUGGUAAGAGCGCACCAAGGCGACGAUCCUUAGCUGGUCUGAGAGGAUGAUCAGCCACACUGGGACUGAGACACGGCCCAGACUCCUACGGGAGGCAGCAGUGGGGAAUAUUGGACAAUGGGCGCAAGCCUGAUCCAGCAAUGCCGCGUGAGUGAUGAAGGCCUUAGGGUUGUAAAGCUCUUUUACCCGGGAUGAUAAUGACUGUACCCACAGAAGAAGCCCCGGCUAACUCCGUGCCAGCCGCCGCAGUAA